RNAcentral lists this ribosomal RNA (468 nucleotides) under uncultured soil bacterium. Its description in RNAcentral is "bacterial SSU rRNA". It matches the Rfam family "Bacterial small subunit ribosomal RNA", at positions 26 to 519 of the family's 1533-position model. The record is from RNAcentral.
AGGACGAACGCUGGCGGCGUGCUUAACACAUGCAAGUCGAGCGGUAAGGCCCUUUCGGGGGUACACGAGCGGCGAACGGGUGAGUAACACGUGAGCAAUCUGCCCUUCACUUCGGGAUAAGCCUCGGAAACGGGGUCUAAUACCGGAUAUGACCGCGCUACGCAUGUGGUGUGGUGGAAAGUUCUGGCGGUGGAGGAUGAGCUCGCGGCCUAUCAGAUUGUUGGUGGGUAAUAGCCUACCAAGGCUUCGACGGGUAGCCGGCCUGAGAGGGUGACCGGCCACACUGGGACUGAGACACGGCCCAGACUCCGUACGGGAGGCAGCAGUGGGGAAUAUGGACAAUGGGCGAAAGCCUGAUCCAGCAACGCCGACGUGAGGGAUGACGCCGUUCGGUUGUAAGUCUUCUUCGAGCGCGACGACGCGAGAGUGACGGUGCGACGAGAAGAGCCGAACCGGCCAACGUACGUA